Molecule: transfer RNA, 72 nt
Filed under: Pterapogon kauderni
Lineage: Eukaryota; Metazoa; Chordata; Actinopteri; Kurtiformes; Apogonidae
Description: tRNA-Asp
Rfam family: tRNA
About the family: Transfer RNA (tRNA) molecules are approximately 80 nucleotides in length. Their secondary structure includes four short double-helical elements and three loops (D, anti-codon, and T loops).
Source: RNAcentral
AAAACACUAGUAUAACUGAUAAUACAUUGCCUUGUCAAGGCAAAAUCGCGGGUUAAACCCCCGCGUGUUUUA